RNAcentral lists this transfer RNA (82 nucleotides) under Candidatus Tagabacteria bacterium CG09_land_8_20_14_0_10_41_14. RNAcentral's name for it is "tRNA-Leu". It matches the Rfam family "tRNA". From Rfam's summary of the family: Transfer RNA (tRNA) molecules are approximately 80 nucleotides in length. Their secondary structure includes four short double-helical elements and three loops (D, anti-codon, and T loops). The record is from RNAcentral. Lineage: Bacteria; Candidatus Tagaibacteriota.
GCCGAGGUGGUGAAAUCGGCAAACACGCAUGGUUUAGGACCAUGUGCCUAACGGCUUGCAGGUUCAAAUCCUGUCCUCGGCA